This 392-nucleotide ribosomal RNA is filed under the name uncultured bacterium. RNAcentral describes it as "bacterial SSU rRNA". It matches the Rfam family "Bacterial small subunit ribosomal RNA", at positions 28 to 422 of the family's 1533-position model. The record is from RNAcentral.
GACGAACGCUGGCGGCGUGCUUAACACAUGCAAGUCGAGCGGUAAGGCCCUUUCGGGGGUACACGAGCGGCGAACGGGUGGGUAACACGUGGGUGACCUGCCCUCAGCUCUGGGAUAAGCCUGGGAAACCGGGUCUAAUACUGGAUAUGACUCCAUGACGCAUGUUGUGGGGUGGAAAGCCUUGUGCGGCUGAGGAUGGGCCCGCGGCCUAUCAGCUUGUUGGUGGGGUGAUGGCCUACCAAGGCGACGACGGGUAGCCGGCCUGAGAGGGCGACCGGCCACACUGGGACUGAGACACGGCCCAGACUCCUACGGGAGGCAGCAGUGGGGAAUCUUGCGUAAUGGCGAAAGCCUGACGCAGCGACGCCGCGUGAGGGAUGACGGCCUGUGUA